UCGUGCGUGACUGGGGUACCCACGUGUUCCUAACAAUCAUCGCGAUUUCGGACCUUUUUCUGUGCCAAUUUACAUAGUUAAUACCUGUUAUUUGUUGUUAUUGUGGUGGUGGUAACUGGUGUUAACCUUGUAAAUAUUUUUAAAUCCCCACCGUAAAAACAGCAAUUAACAUAGUGUGUACCUUACCACAAUCGUUUUUGGCCGAAUUUGCUGUGUUAGUCACACACGGCAUACAGCCACAAACAAAGAUUGA
Long non-coding RNA from Plutella xylostella (diamondback moth), 253 nucleotides. RefSeq lists it as uncharacterized. Lineage: Eukaryota; Metazoa; Arthropoda; Insecta; Lepidoptera; Plutellidae. The record is from RefSeq and is a predicted model, not a curated record.